AUUGAACGCUGGCGGCAUGCCUUACACAUGCAAGUCGAACGGCAGCACGGGUGCUUGCACCUGGUGGCGAGUGGCGAACGGGUGAGUAAUACAUCGGAACGUACCUUAUCGUGGGGGAUAACGCAGCGAAAGCUGUGCUAAUACCGCAUACGCCCUGAGGGGGAAAGCGGGGGAUCGCAAGACCUCGCGCGAUUAGAGCGGCCGAUGCCUGAUUAGCUUGUUGGUGGGGUAAAAGCCCACCAAGGCGACGAUCAGUAGCUGGUCUGAGAGGACGAUCAGCCACACUGGGACUGAGACACGGCCCAGACUCCUAUGGGAGGCAGCAGUGGGGAAUUUUGGACAAUGGGGGCAACCCUGAUCCAGCAAUGCCGCGUGAGUGAAGAAGGCCUUCGGGUUGUAAAGCUCUUUUGUCAGGGAAGAAGCACCGGCUCUAACACAGUCCGGGAAUGACGGUACCUGAAGAAUAAGCACCGGCUAACUACGUGCCAGCCGCCGCAGUAA
This 501-nucleotide ribosomal RNA is filed under the name uncultured bacterium. RNAcentral's name for it is "partial 16S ribosomal RNA". It matches the Rfam family "Bacterial small subunit ribosomal RNA", at positions 30 to 523 of the family's 1533-position model. The record is from RNAcentral.